RNAcentral lists this long non-coding RNA (732 nucleotides) under Marmota monax (woodchuck). The record is from RNAcentral. Lineage: Eukaryota; Metazoa; Chordata; Mammalia; Rodentia; Sciuridae.
AAAAAUUUGAGUGUUCAUUUUUCGUUUCGUUUCAUCCGAGCCUCGGCUCGUUCCCGGCCUCGCCGGAGGGGUCUGCGCUCCCACACACUCGAGUGGGAAGGGGCUUCUGCCCAGCUGCGGACUAACCAUGAAACCGUUGGGGCUUCUGCUCCCCGCGGGGCCCUGCCCUCCUGGCCAUAACAAACGAAACUUGGAAAAGUUGGAGAUAUUUUUUAACCAGCUGUAGAAAUAAGCCGUUCCCUGAGAACCUUCUGCCUGAUUCCCUGCAGCUUCCCUCUGCUCCCUUUCCAGCCCCCCCUGGAUGCGGGAUGCUGGGGGAGGCGGGGAGAGAAAUUCCCCAAGUUUGGGGUGAGGUGGGGAACCAUGUAAAUAUGUGAGAUAUGUACACACUGGCGGGGAAAAGAAACAUUUUGUGCUUGGAUUUUAUUUUUGGUUUUCUGGGUUGUCCUCCCUCCCCAUCCUAAAGGAUUUUGUACACCCAACUAAUCCGAAAAAGAUAUUUUAAUAUGAUUUCCUGAUUUCUGACCCAUCUCUAUUUAUUUUCUGGAUAUGUUUGGAGCUUCCCCCUUUUCCAUUUCUUCUUCUGUUAAGGUUUGAAUUUAAAUUUUGUUAUUUUAUUUUUAUUAUUUUUUGGAACAAUGUUUUGGUGCAUUCUCUUUGUAUCUUUAUUGCAAAAAAAAAAUAAUGUAGACUGGGAAGUUCCCUUUAUAUUUAUGUUAUAGUAAAUAUUUU